UUGAACGCUGGCGGCAUGCCUUACACAUGCAAGUCGAACGGCAGCACGGGUGCUUGCACCUGGUGGCGAGUGGCGAACGGGUGAGUAAUACAUCGGAACAUGUCCUGUAGUGGGGGAUAGCCCGGCGAAAGCCGGAUUAAUACCGCAUACGAUCUACGGAUGAAAGCGGGGGACCUUCGGGCCUCGCGCUAUAGGGUUGGCCGAUGGCUGAUUAGCUAGUUGGUGGGGUAAAGGCCUACCAAGGCGACGAUCAGCAGCUGGUCUGAGAGGACGACCAGCCACACUGGGACUGAGACACGGCCCAGACUCCUACGGGAGGCAGCAGUGGGGAAUUUUGGACAAUGGGCGAAAGCCUGAUCCAGCAAUGCCGCGUGUGUGAAGAAGGCCUUCGGGUUGUAAAGCACUUUUGUCCGGAAAGAAAUCCUUGGCCCUAAUACGGUCGGGGGAUGACGGUACCGGAAGAAUAAGCACCGGCUAACUACGUG
This 485-nucleotide ribosomal RNA is filed under the name uncultured bacterium. RNAcentral describes it as "partial 16S ribosomal RNA". It matches the Rfam family "Bacterial small subunit ribosomal RNA", at positions 30 to 507 of the family's 1533-position model. The record is from RNAcentral.